Long non-coding RNA from Spinacia oleracea (spinach), 1269 nucleotides. RefSeq lists it as uncharacterized. The record is from RefSeq and is a predicted model, not a curated record. Lineage: Eukaryota; Viridiplantae; Streptophyta; Magnoliopsida; Caryophyllales; Amaranthaceae. The transcript is spliced from 3 exons.
CAAACCUGAAAACCAACCCUCCCUUGUUUCCUGCCUUAUUCGAACCACCACCAUCAGUGGCUGCCUUCCACAGAAACCACCACCACCAUUAACCGCCUCACCUACCACCCCUACCACCACUGACUAUCACCAACACCACUCGACCACCGCACGCACCACAACUCCCACCCUCCUCCUCCUCCCGCGCACUCCCCUGCUCUCUCUUUCCUUUCCCCUGCUGCGCCACCACGCCACCAGGCCAUCAUACCACAACCACCAUCAUCAAUUGAUCUCCGUCCCAAUCCCCGGUGAGCCGCCGGAAAGAACCGACCCGAGACACCUCUCCCUAAAAAAAAAAAAAAAAAAAAGAAAUCCCCUGCCUCUCCUCUUCUAUUCGCACAAACAUCCCCUUCCCUCUCGCUAUUCUGCCAUCGUGAAACGCCAUUCAACCACCGCCACCGUCGCCUUUCUCCGGCGCGGUUCCGCGCCUUUGCGCCGCCCAAGCCCAGGCUGCGGCCACCUCCCUUCCCUCUCUCCUUCCCCUUCGUCCGUUCUCCCCUGUUCUUCGCCCCUGCUUCGUGCCUAGUUCCGCGAGAAACAGGUUCCAAUAUUGGAACUUUGUUCCUUUAAUUAUUCAAGCAAGCCCAACUUUCCUUUUAGCCCAAUAGCUCAAGUGAAUUUAGAAAUCAGACUCGGGGCUCAGGAAGAACGAACCAACGAAAAGGCUUAGCAAAUCGCGGAAUUGAGGUACUGCUGGGGACCACGGAAACGAGUAGUGGCGAGGAUUUCACUGUUACCAAGUUCACCUAAGUUAAUGUUAAGUUGUAACAAGUUUAAGUAAAGAUUCUUGAUUAAGUUACGUACUUUUAUUAAGGAAUUAAAAGGAUUAUUAUGUUAAUUUUUGGAGUUUAAUAGCUUAUGAUUGAUAGUUGCCUUGUAAUUCCCAAGAGGGAGUUACGGCAGGUGAUGUCCCGACCGAAUUAGGUUAAUUCCGCUGCUAAGUAUUCCUUAAUAAGUGAUUUAGAGGUCGGGGUGUUACAGAUCCUCCUUUUCUUUUUCUUAAUAGCAACGUUUGAUGUUUCACACUUCACAAUAAUGCAUAGAUUUAACCAGUAAUAUCUUAGAGUUGGAGGUACAAUACGAAUUAGUUAUUAGUAUAUAUGCAUUAAUUCAAAUGAGGUAUCGGUCUAAUGGUAAAGACGGAGGGAAUGUGCACGAUAAUUCCAAGGUUUAUUUCUCCUCCUCCAAUUGUAAUUUGUAUUGUCUUUGUGCUCAUCACACACUCUAAAG